This 1017-nucleotide ribosomal RNA is filed under the name uncultured bacterium. Its description in RNAcentral is "bacterial SSU rRNA". The stretch from base 252 to 1017 matches the Rfam family "Bacterial small subunit ribosomal RNA". The record is from RNAcentral.
CGAUAAUCUGGGGGGCGCUUAAGACAGAUUAGCUCUGUGAGACUGAGCUGGUCGUAUAUGAGGCGUAGUCGGGAGCAGCUCAAGUCUCGAAGGAGGAGACUCCUCGGAUAGCCUGAGGAUCUGACUUUCGUGCUGGAUGACUGAGGGUGUACUUGAGAGUGUGAGGAGGGGAUAUUGGAUCUGCUGAUGUGUCAGAGGACGAACAAUCGUGGAUGAUGGGGUAAGAAGCACCCAGCUGGCUGAACGGCUGACGUACUGAAAUCAUUACUGAGCGCACAGGCUCGAGAUGACGUGGGGUAGUACACAGCGAGUAGAUGACGAAUGUAGUGCACGCCGUAAAAUUAUGAUUGCAUAGUUGUCAGGGAAGCGCUGCUUCUCAUUUGACGCAGGGGAGUGCGGUAAGCAAUCUGCAUGUCGAGUACGGUGGCAAGAGUCCGCACAAACGGUGGAGACAGGGGGGCCGCACAAGCGGUGGAGCAUGAGGUUUAAUUUGAAGCAACGCGCAGAACCUUACCACCCAGAGACAUGACCGGACCGCCACAGAGAGAGCACAUCCCUUCCGGGACUGUGACACAGGUGCUGCAUGAGAGUCGUCAGCUCUUGUCGUGAGAUGCGCAACUAAGUUCCGCAACGAGUGCCACCCUCUCCAUUAGUUGCCAUCAUUUAGUUGGGAAAUGUAAUGGGGAAGCCGGUGAUAAGCCGGAGGAAGGAGGGGCCGACGUCAAGUCGUCAUGCCCCUUACACAAUGGGGGACACACGUGGUACAAUGGGGACGACAGAGGGUUAAUCUUUAAAAGUCGUCUCAGUUCGGAUUGUCCUCUGCAACUCGAGGGCAUGAAGUUGGAAUCGCUAGUAAUCGUGGAUCAGCAUGCCGCGGUGAAUACGUUCCCGGGCCUUGUACACACCGCCCGUCACACCAUGGGAGUUGGUUUUACCCGAAGGCGAUGCGCUAACCCGCAAGGGAGGCAGUCGACCACGGUAGGGUCAGCGACUGGGGUGAAGUGUAACAAGGUAACC